RNAcentral lists this ribosomal RNA (487 nucleotides) under uncultured bacterium. Its description in RNAcentral is "partial 16S ribosomal RNA". It matches the Rfam family "Bacterial small subunit ribosomal RNA", at positions 28 to 523 of the family's 1533-position model. The record is from RNAcentral.
GAUGAACGCUGGCGGCGUGCUUAACACAUGCAAGUCGAACGAAGCACUUUUAAUUCUUCGGAAGAGAAAGUGACUGAGUGGCGGACGGGUGAGUAACGCGUGGGUAACCUGCCUUAUACAGGGGGAUAACAGUUAGAAAUGACUGCUAAUACCGCAUAAGCCGAUAGAGUCGCAUGACUUAGUCGGAAAAGAUUUAUCGGUAUAAGAUGGACCCGCGUCUGAUUAGCUAAUUGGUGAGGUAAUGGCCAACCAAGGCGACGAUCAGUAGCCGGCUUGAGAGAGUGAACGGCCACAUUGGGACUGAGACACGGCCCAAACUCCUACGGGAGGCAGCAGUGGGGAAUAUUGCACAAUGGGGGAAACCCUGAUGCAGCAACGCCGCGUGAAGGAAGAAGUAUUUCGGUAUGUAAACUUCUAUCAGCAGGGUAGAAAAUGACGGUACCUGACUAAGAAGCCCCGGCUAACUACGUGCCAGCCGCCGCCGUAA